This 451-nucleotide ribosomal RNA is filed under the name uncultured bacterium. RNAcentral describes it as "partial 16S ribosomal RNA". It matches the Rfam family "Bacterial small subunit ribosomal RNA", at positions 354 to 796 of the family's 1533-position model. The record is from RNAcentral.
GUGGGGAAUAUUGGACAAUGGGGGGAACCCUGAUCCAGCCAUGCCGCGUGUGUGAAGAAGGCCUUUUGGUUGUAAAGCACUUUAAGCGAGGAGGAGGCUACCGAGAUUAAUACUCUUGGAUAGUGGACGUUACUCGCAGAAUAAGCACCGGCUAACUCUGUGCCAGCAGCCGCGGUAAUACAGAGGGUGCAAGCGUUAAUCGGAUUUACUGGGCUUAAAGCGCGCGUAGGUGGCCAAUUAAGUCAAAUGUGAAAUCCCCGAGCUUAACUUGGGAAUUGCAUUCGAUACUGGUUGGCUAGAGUAUGGGAGAGGAUGGUAGAAUUCCAGGUGUAGCGGUGAAAUGCGUAGAGAUCUGGAGGAAUACCGAUGGCGAAGGCAGCCAUCUGGCCUAAUACUGACACUGAGGUGCGAAAGCAUGGGGAGCAAACAGGAUUAGAAACCCGGGUAGUCC